GACGAACGCUGGCCGCGUGCUUAACACAUGCAAGUCGAGCGGAAAGGCCACUUCGGUGGUACUCGAGCGGCGAACGGGUGAGUAACACGUGAGUAAUCUGCCCCUGGCUUUGGGAUAGCCACCGGAAACGGUGAUUAAUACCGGAUACGACCACUUCUCGCAUGGGAUGGUGGCGGAAAGUUUUUUCGGCCAGGGAGGUGCUCGCGGCCUAUCAGCUUGAUGGGGAGGUAAUGGCUCACCAUGGCUUCGACGGGUAGCCGGCCUGAGAGGGUGACCGGUCACACUGGGACUGAGACACGGCCCAGACUCCUACGGGAGGCAGCAGUGGGGAAUAUUGGACAAUGGGCGGAAGCCUGAUCCAGCAACGCCGCGUGAGGGAUGACGGCCUUCGGGUUGUAAACCUCUUUCAGCAGGGACGAAGCGCAAGUGACGGUACCUGCAGAAGAAGCACCGGCCAACUACGUGCCAGCCGCCGCCGUAA
RNAcentral lists this ribosomal RNA (481 nucleotides) under uncultured bacterium. RNAcentral describes it as "partial 16S ribosomal RNA". It matches the Rfam family "Bacterial small subunit ribosomal RNA", at positions 28 to 523 of the family's 1533-position model. The record is from RNAcentral.